Molecule: long non-coding RNA, 936 nt
Organism: Mirounga angustirostris (Northern elephant seal)
Lineage: Eukaryota; Metazoa; Chordata; Mammalia; Carnivora; Phocidae
Exons: 3
Source: RefSeq, a predicted model, not a curated record
GGGGGAGGGAGGCGCAAGGUCGUCUGCGCGAGGACUACCUCCGCGCGUCGUGGGGAGUGGGGUUUGGGCACGUGGAGUGACUGCGGACUUGUGGACUCUGGAGGCGUGUCGCUCCACGACCUGUCCCUGGGAAGGGUGCGGCGUCACUGCAUAAGAACGCUGAGCACGAGAGCUGGUGCUCUCCAAAGCAGAAAGAUUCCGAGGCCCAGGUGCCGACUUUGGAACCCAAACAGUCCGAGGAUGUGAUUGGGCAGCUCUGUCAACACUCAUAGCGUGAACCGUCGAAUAAGCUUGAUCGAACACCUGUUGUUUGUCAGACCUUGUCGUGGCUGCUCAGGGGCUUCUGCCUUUUAAUUCUGCCUGUUAAUUCAGCAAAUACACCUAAGCACCAGGCAUUAUACCAGGCAUGCAUAGGUAGCCUGGUAAAUGGAGAGCCCAGGAAAGAAUGAAGUUAGCAGUCGGGAGGAGGAGAACCGAAGGAAAGGCGGCUUUUCUCGUGGCGGUGCUAGAGACACUGUGAAGAUUAAAUGAAAGGCCCUUAGACGACUGUAUGGCACCUAGCUAAGUACUACAACUCAAUAAACGUUGCUAGUUGUUCAUGGAUAUUUAAAGAGGUCAUAUAUUGUGAAACUGAUAUUACAAUGGUGGAUAUACAUGCUGUUAUACAUUUGUCCAAACCCAUAGAACAUAUCACACCAAGAAUGAAUCCUAAUGUAAACAAUGGAUUUUGGGGAUAAUGUUGUGUCCACAUAGGUUCAUCAGUUGUAACAAAUACCCCACCCUGGAGCAGGAUGUGGAUAGUGGAGUAUUUGGACUUGGGUGGGGACAGGGGCAUAUCGAAACUCUGCACUUUCCAUUCAAUUUUGUUGUGAACCUGAAACUGCUCUAAGAAAUAAAGUGUGUUAAUAAAAUGUAAAAAAAAAAAAAAAAAAAAAA